UACGGAAGGCAGCAGUGGGGAAUAUUGCACAAUGGGCGCAAGCCUGAUGCAGCCAUGCCGCGUGUAUGAAGAAGGCCUUCGGGUUGUAAAGUACUUUCAGUCGUGAGGAAGGUGUUAAGGUUAAUAACCUUAGCAAUUGACGUUAGCGACAGAAGAAGCACCGGCUAACUCCGUGCCAGCAGCCGCGGUAAUACGGAGGGUGCGAGCGUUAAUCGGAAUUACUGGGCGUAAAGGGCACGCAGGCGGUUAAUUAAGUUGGAUGUGAAAUCCCCGGGCUUAACCUGGGAAUGGCAUUCAAGACUGGUUAGCUAGAGUCUUGUAGAGGGGGUAGAAUUCCGAUGUGUAGCGGUGAAAUGCGUAGAGAUGUGGAGGAAUACCGGUGGCGAAGGCGGCCCCUGGGACAAAGGCUGACGCUCAUGUGCGAAAGCGUGGGGAGCAAACAGGAUUAGAUACC
RNAcentral lists this ribosomal RNA (454 nucleotides) under uncultured bacterium. RNAcentral's name for it is "bacterial SSU rRNA". It matches the Rfam family "Bacterial small subunit ribosomal RNA", at positions 340 to 786 of the family's 1533-position model. The record is from RNAcentral.